GAUGAGCGCUGGCGGCGUGCCUAAUACAUGCAAGUCGAGCGAACGGACGAGAAGCUUGCUUCUCUGAUGUUAGCGGCGGACGGGUGAGUAACACGUGGAUAACCUACCUAUAAGACUGGGAUAACUUCGGGAAACCGGAGCUAAUACCGGAUGAUAUUUUGAACCGCAUGGUUCAAAAGUGAAAGACGGUCUUGCUGUCACUUAUAGAUGGAUCCGCGCUGCAUUAGCUAGUUGGUAAGGUAACGGCUUACCAAGGCAACGAUGCAUAGCCGACCUGAGAGGGUGAUCGGCCACACUGGAACUGGGACACGGUCCAGACUCCUACGGGAGGCAGCAGUAGGGAAUCUUCCGCAAUGGGCGAAAGCCUGACGGAGCAACGCCGCGUGAGUGAUGAAGGUCUUCGGAUCGUAAAACUCUGUUAUUAGGGAAGAACAUAUGUGUAAGUAACUGUGCACAUCUUGACGGUACCUAAUCAGAAAGCCACGGCUAACUACGUG
This 497-nucleotide ribosomal RNA is filed under the name uncultured bacterium. RNAcentral's name for it is "partial 16S ribosomal RNA". It matches the Rfam family "Bacterial small subunit ribosomal RNA", at positions 28 to 507 of the family's 1533-position model. The record is from RNAcentral.